AACUGUGUUGGAGAUGCUGUGUG
Molecule: non-coding RNA, 23 nt
Filed under: Cricetulus griseus (Chinese hamster)
Lineage: Eukaryota; Metazoa; Chordata; Mammalia; Rodentia; Cricetidae
Source: RNAcentral